Molecule: long non-coding RNA, 520 nt
Organism: Ictalurus punctatus (channel catfish)
Lineage: Eukaryota; Metazoa; Chordata; Actinopteri; Siluriformes; Ictaluridae
Source: Ensembl
GGGUGUACAUGGUUAUUCUAUACUUUUUUGAGAAGGUGAAUGUUGCUGAUUUUUGAAGGUGAAAUGUUGGGGUCUGAAGGGGAAUGUUGAAGGGGAAUGUUGGGGUCUGAAGGGGAAUGUUGAAGGGGAAUGUUGGGGUCUGAAGGGGAAUGUUAAAGGCGAAUGUUGGCGUCUGAAGGGGAAUGAUGAAGGGGAAUGUUGGGGUCUGAAGGGGAACGUUGAAGGCAAACGUUGGGGUCUGAAGGGGAAUGUUGAAGGGGAAUGUUGGGGUCUGAAGGGGAAUGUUGAAGGCGAAUGUUGGGGUCUGAAGGGGAAUGUUGAAGGUGAAUGUUGGGGUCUGAAGGGGAAUGUUGAAGGUGAAUGUUGGGGUCUGAAGGCGAAUGUUGAAGGUGAAUGUUGGGGUCUGAAGGCGAAUGUUGAAGGCGAAUGUUGGGGUCUGAAGGGGAAUGUUGAAGGCGAAUGUUGGGGUCUGAAGGGGAAUGUUGGGGUCUAAAGGGGAAUGUUGAAGGCGAAUGUUGGG